AUCAUAUUCAAAUGACUAUUCAAUACAAGCAAUGCCGCAACAUCUGCCGCUGCCUCUACAAUACUGGCACAGCUUAUUCCGCCUGACUUCAAAAAUGUAUCUGUCCAGACCUGAUUUAUCUCAAAAGCUUUGACUCUGUAACCGGCACGGAUUAGUGAAGUAGCCAAUUGGAGGCUAAGAUCGUCCAAGCCAAUAAACCCAACGAACGCCAUUAAUGAGAACGUUGAGAUAGUAGUUCCCUGCUCUCAGCUGAAGCUUCUGUGAUUCUCCCAGCAGCUGAGACUUGAGAUACUACAAAACAGCAGGU
This 307-nucleotide unclassified non-coding RNA is filed under the name Hevea brasiliensis (rubber tree). The record is from RNAcentral. Lineage: Eukaryota; Viridiplantae; Streptophyta; Magnoliopsida; Malpighiales; Euphorbiaceae.